AUGAACAGAAAGUGUCCUCUAGUCACACGGAGAAAACUUGGAAGAAGAAGGACUAUAGGAGCUCUUGCCAUUGCUAUUCUAACCCCUAGUGAUUCUCCAAACAGCCGCGGCUCAUCCAGGCUGACAGACAGCAUAAUGGGUCAACUUCACAGACAGAAGCAAUUAAUGCAACAAUCCCUUGCAGAUCCAGGACCACUGUUUUUCUGCAGUAACUUGAGAACCAGGAGAUUGGAAGUAGAGGUGUGUUUUCACCCAGGCGAGCGGCACAGGCUGGGCACAGAGUGUGUCUGCACAGCACUGUAUGAUAGUUUACCCAGAAAGCCCUCAAGCUGCACCUUUCAUGAUUCAGAAGAGACCAUAACUCUGGCCAGCCAGUGAUCAUGGGUGCAAGCUGCCAACCAGCAGGCUGAUGGUUCACCUGCCUAGAAUAGAGAAUUCAGUUGGCCAAACUAGGACCACAUGCCCACCCUAGAGGCCAUGAUGUUGGAGUCCUGGGAUUGUCUGCAGAGCAGAGCCUCACAUGGAAGACAGAAGAGCAGAUCCUGAAAGAAAUGGUUACCAGGCAGACAUCCAUUGCAUUAGACCACAGUGAUCCUUUUUCUUAGAGACCUGUCAGUUGACAUGGCAAUUCUGCUCCCUAAAGAUACCUCCAUAACAGCUUAUCUGCCAAGUGAUAACUUUUCUUGUCUCCAUGGGCUCCACUUAGGUAGGUCUUACCCACUCAAAAGACUCAUGUGCCCAGAGGAGACAGACACACUCACUCUGUUAAAGUGAUCUAGGUACUCUCUGCAUAGCAUAUCCCAGAACAUCUUUUUGUACAUUUGUUUCUUAUUGUUUAGUUCAUGAAUAAAACAUGAAUCUAGUUUACA
This 869-nucleotide long non-coding RNA is filed under the name Felis catus (domestic cat). RNAcentral's name for it is "lncRNA (ENSFCAG00000041400.2)". Lineage: Eukaryota; Metazoa; Chordata; Mammalia; Carnivora; Felidae. The record is from RNAcentral.